AUUGAACGCUGGCGGCAUGCCUUACACAUGCAAGUCGAACGGCAGCGCGGACUUCGGUCUGGCGGCGAGUGGCAAACGGGUGAGUAAUACAUCGGAACGUACCCUGUUGUGGGGGAUAACUAGUCGAAAGAUUAGCUAAUACCGCAUACGACCUGAGGGUGAAAGUGGGGGACCGCAAGGCCUCACGCAGCAGGAGCGGCCGAUGUCUGAUUAGCUAGUUGGUGGGGUAAAGGCCCACCAAGGCGACGAUCAGUAGCUGGUCUGAGAGGACGAUCAGCCACACUGGGACUGAGACACGGCCCAGACUCCUACGGGAGGCAGCAGUGGGGAAUUUUGGACAAUGGGGGCAACCCUGAUCCAGCAAUGCCGCGUGUGUGAAGAAGGCCUUCGGGUUGUAAAGCGCUUUUGUCCGGAAAGAAAUCGCGCUGGUUAAUACCUGGCGUGGAUGACGGUACCGGAAGAAUAAGCACCGGCUAACUACGUGCCAGCCGCCGCCGUAA
This 500-nucleotide ribosomal RNA is filed under the name uncultured bacterium. Its description in RNAcentral is "partial 16S ribosomal RNA". It matches the Rfam family "Bacterial small subunit ribosomal RNA", at positions 30 to 523 of the family's 1533-position model. The record is from RNAcentral.